GACGUAGGGCGCGAGCGUUGUCCGGAUUUAUUGGGCGUAAAGAGCUCGUAGGCGGUUUGUCGCGUCGGCCGUGAAAACUUGGGGCUUAACCCCAAGCUUGCGGUCGAUACGGGCAGACUUGAGUUCGGCAGGGGAGACUGGAAUUCCUGGUGUAGCGGUGAAAUGCGCAGAUAUCAGGAGGAACACCGGUGGCGAAGGCGGGUCUCUGGGCCGAUACUGACGCUGAGGAGCGAAAGCGUGGGGAGCGAACAGG
RNAcentral lists this ribosomal RNA (253 nucleotides) under uncultured bacterium. Its description in RNAcentral is "partial 16S ribosomal RNA". It matches the Rfam family "Bacterial small subunit ribosomal RNA", at positions 524 to 776 of the family's 1533-position model. The record is from RNAcentral.